Molecule: transfer RNA, 72 nt
Organism: Smittium mucronatum
Lineage: Eukaryota; Fungi; Kickxellomycota; Harpellomycetes; Harpellales; Legeriomycetaceae
Rfam family: tRNA
About the family: Transfer RNA (tRNA) molecules are approximately 80 nucleotides in length. Their secondary structure includes four short double-helical elements and three loops (D, anti-codon, and T loops).
Source: Rfam
GGGAAUAUAACUUAAUGGUAGAGUAUCAGACUUUUAAUCUGAAUUGUUUGGGUUCAAAUCCCAAUAUUCUCA